GAUGAACGCUAGCGAUAGGCUUAACACAUGCAAGUCGAGGGGCAGCAUGGUCUUAGCUUGCUAAGGCUGAUGGCGACCGGCGCACGGGUGCGUAACGCGUAUGCAACUUGCCUCACAGAGGGGGAUAACCCGUCGAAAGACGGACUAAUACCGCGUACACUCUAUGUUGGGCAUCCAAUGUAGAGGAAAUGAACUUCGCUGUGAGAUAGGCAUGCGUCCCAUUAGCUAGUUGGUGAGGUAACGGCUCACCAAGGCGACGAUGGGUAGGGGAACUGAGAGGUUGAACCCCCACACUGGUACUGAGACACGGACCAGACUCCUACGGGAGGCAGAAGUGAGGAAUAUUGGUCAAUGGGCGAGAGCCUGAACCAGCCAAGUCGCGUGAAGGAUGACUGUCUUAUGGAUUGUAAACUUCUUUUAUACGGGAAUAACAAGAGUCACGUGUGGCUCCCUGCAUGUACCGUAUGAAUAAGCAUCGGCUAACUCCGUG
This 490-nucleotide ribosomal RNA is filed under the name uncultured bacterium. RNAcentral's name for it is "partial 16S ribosomal RNA". It matches the Rfam family "Bacterial small subunit ribosomal RNA", at positions 28 to 507 of the family's 1533-position model. The record is from RNAcentral.